AAUUCGAUGCUACACGAAGAACUUACCAGGUUUGACAUACAAGUAGUAGGGAAGGAAACUGGACCGACCUUCGGGAGCUUGUACAGGUGCUGCAUGGCUGUCGUCAGCUCGUGUCGUGAGAUGUUCGGUUAAGUCCGCUAACGAGCGCAGCCCUUAUCCCUAGUUGCCAUCAGGUAAAGCUGGGAACUCUGGGGAGACUGCCGGUGAUAAACCGGAGGAAGGCGGGGAUGACGUCAAGUCCUCAUGGCCCUUACAUCCCGGGCUACACACGUGCUACAAUGGCAGGUACAGAGGGCUGCGAAGCCGCGAGGUGGAGCGAAUCCCAGAAAACCUGUCUCAGUCCGGAUUGAAGUCUGCAACUCGACUUCAUGAAGGCGGAAUCGCUAGUAACCGCGAAUCAGCAGGUCGCGGUGAAUACGUUCCCGGGCCUU
This 431-nucleotide ribosomal RNA is filed under the name uncultured Latescibacterota bacterium. RNAcentral describes it as "bacterial SSU rRNA". It matches the Rfam family "Bacterial small subunit ribosomal RNA", at positions 948 to 1382 of the family's 1533-position model. Lineage: Bacteria; Pseudomonadati; Candidatus Latescibacterota. The record is from RNAcentral.